AGAUGAACAAGAGGGGUGGGGCAAACGACAGAGGUUGAGAACCUCUAAAUUUCUGGUUGAACUAUGAAAAGUUUAAUGCUGAACAAACACGAAGCGCAGACGCCCAGAUAAACAAACUAAGGACCAACCCACGUCAUAUCCUUCAAAAUUUUGCGAACAUGUGCUUAUAAGGUAAUUCAUCAGACCAGUGAUUGUUCACUUCAUUCAUCAACUCAACAGCAUGAGGAUGGCAUGCCGACAUUCAUCUUCAGUUUCUCUCCUUUUCAUCGUCUCAAAUAUUUUUGGGGUUAUCGGUCAGGGGUAUAUUCCGAAUCCAAGGGUCGAGCCACGCUGUAGUGCGUACAAAGUUUUACCGUAUGAUUCCACAAUUUUUGACUUCUCACAGCCUUAUUACGUGUCGGCAUCGAGCGUGGCCGGCACAAUUAUCGGAUGGAACGAGCCGGAUACGGUCGUCUGUGACAGCACUUUCACUGUCGGCGCUCAGUGCUGUGGUUUGUGCACGUUUAUCCAAUUCACGCCCAACAACGAUGACCCCGAUCCUGAUCAAUUCUCCAUGAACAUGAUUGAAACUGCGUUCAACGAGUGCUAUGGUGGAUACGACACAACAACCAGCACGGUUUAUCCUGCGUAUCAAGAGCGAGACAAAAGUGUGUACAGAGUGUUCCGCUCUCAAAAUUACAAUAAGUGGCUGACUUCUACAGACGUAUACGACAGAAACUUGAUCGAUACCCCCAAGUACAGAACAGCACCGUUGAAAUAUUCCUUCGGAGUGAUUAUGGCUGAUAUUGACGUUCUGGUGCUCGUUUUCUGCAACAACUUUAACAACCUUACCUACAACGGAGCUCCUAACGUUCUUGUACUCUCCAAGUCGCCAAAUUUGUCGAGGGACGUGAGGAACAGAAUCUACAAAACCCUCGUCGAUAACAGAAUCGAUCCGAACAGUUUGAGCUUCAGGAACAACUACAAUUGCCCAGACAUCGACUCCUAUGGUCCAAACUGGUAUCAAAAUCUCAACUCCAAGCGGACCCAACCUCUGUUACGACCUAAUGCCAUUAAGUAUUAAAUUAAACGUUCCAGGUCACAUUAACUUUUACUCACAUGUAUUUUACAAAUCAACCAUCUAUUUCUGUGUAGAGGCGAACUAUCUUCAAGAAUUAUGUCAUAUGUUAUUAAAAAAUAAAUACUGCGAUCUUGUCAAUUUUAGUUCUUCAUACUCCUGUAGAGAGCCUUUAUCCAGGGUCGAGGCCUGUUCGCUCACGGCUGAUGCGCCCCCAAUAUUCGAGUUAUGCAACGCGUGCUUUUCUUCGCGUUUCAAUCGUGGUAUCAAGGUCCUAACCCAAAAGUUUGCUGUUCUAAAAUAUGAUGAUCAGAAUGCAUGAUAACUCUAAAUUGCAUCAUAAUUGUUGUUAAGGGCCAAAGAACCGGUACAUAAUACAUGUUUACCGAUUUAAGAGAUCAGGAGAAAACCAUAUAACUGCAUAGGGCAUUCUGCAAAUUUAAUAGCGUUGUGUCUUGGGCCCGGUUUUAGAUGAUCGUAACCAAUUUUUCUCUACUUGAAGAUCCCUUUUCAUGUGUGUCAAAUGUGCAAAUCACUCUAUUUUUCCAAAAUCAUUUUUCCUCUUUAUCACAAAUAUCGAUGGCAAAUAUGCGAAACCACGUUUCUCUGUUUGCAGCGUUGCAGACCUCCUGUCAUACUUUAUUUUCUCUUUGAAAAACUCUAGUCAGCGUGUAUUCUUGAGCACUACUUUGAUUUCUCCUCUCUGGAAGCAGAAUAUUCUGUAUUAAUUCCAAGCUAUAAUGUUUCCUUGUUUCUUUUUGAAAAAAUAAAAGAAGAGCGGAAAUUUUGAAAUCUUUCGAUGGAGAUACGUAGUUUCGCACUUUGGUCAUUGAUAAAAUUGGACGAGGUUAAGUAAUUGUAAUUAUAGAAACUCUUAUGAACGUAGGAUUUAUCUAAUAUAAUUUUCCGCUCAGGAGCUCCUAGGUUCAUCUUCUAAAAACUUCAUUUAUCUCCUGCAGUUCCUGCUCUCUUUCGUAACACGAAGUCCAGAAUCGGCGCCAAAGUUUUCAAAUCGACUAACUCCGUCGGACCGGCGAGGAGGUCAUCGCUCCUACGACGUAAAGGCGUACCUCAAUUUACACGUGAGCCCUAUUUUACGUGUAAAUCCAUGCUCUUUGGGGCUCAUGCAGAAAGCGAGAUACGCCCUUACGCUAGAUAAGCGACGAGGUGAAGCGUUGAAAAAAGGUAUGUAGAGAGGAUGCAGCUGGGAAUGAGGUGAAAAGUCUGUCAGUGCCUAUUUUAUAGUCAAGGAUGAUGAAGUUUUAAGCAGGAGCCGGAGGAAUCGAAAAACUAAUCUUGUUGUAAAGUUCAUUUUUAUAGCUCUCGCAACAAAGUUGGAAUCCGCGCCCUUACGAGGCGAAACGUAAAGACAAGUUGGAGCGAAGAAAUGAAAGCUUUUAACGAGCUUUUUAUACGUUUGUUUAUUACGUCGCUUUCUCCCGGCCGCCGAGGAAACUCUGCACCGAAGCAGUUUCAGCCUCGGCCGGCAUCGCGAAAUGGUGUCGGGAAUAUUAGCGGGGCCUCCGAAAAAUAGGCGCGAGCUCGCAUGAUUCGGCAACGUUGCGUGCUAGCAUUGGAGAUGAGGCGCAAGCAGACUUUGUAAGUCCUUAGUUUUAUCACCCGGCAUGGCGGUCUUAAUCUAGCGAGGCGUAAAAUUCCCUCCAAAGUAAGAUGGCGUCUUCAACGAUCUUUUUAAAGCAGCGAAUACAGAAUACAUACCCCUGCGAGAGAGGAUACAUGAGUAUUGACAACGAGAGCCAAUGGGAACCGUGCAACCCACUCGAGUCGAUCUAGCAUGACUUCGUCUCCCACUGGCCAAAGUAUCGGAAGCGCCGCAUGCGACUUUCCAGCGCCAUUUUAUUUUAACAGAGAAAUUUUUCAACGAAGCUGUCCGAAAAUUUCCCUGAAUUUUCUUUGUGCUGCCGAUAUAAUUCUGUGAAAUUUUCAAACAGAUUCAACCAACAAGCUCUCCUUAAAAAAUAAGAUGGCGGCGGAAAUUUUGAAACGUCGCAUGGCGCUUGUGAUACUUUGGCCGGAAGGUGGCGAC
This 3104-nucleotide long non-coding RNA is filed under the name Bemisia tabaci. Its description in RNAcentral is "lncRNA ENSSSA1UGG002516". Lineage: Eukaryota; Metazoa; Arthropoda; Insecta; Hemiptera; Aleyrodidae. The record is from RNAcentral.